Molecule: long non-coding RNA, 4304 nt
Organism: Cavia porcellus (domestic guinea pig)
Lineage: Eukaryota; Metazoa; Chordata; Mammalia; Rodentia; Caviidae
Exons: 3
Source: RefSeq, a predicted model, not a curated record
GCGGGCGCAGGCCCCGCCCCUUCCCCACCCGGCAGGGUCUCUCCCCAGCUCCCCGGGCCGCUCGGUGUGUGCGCGUGUGCAUGCCUGUGUGUCUGUGUGUCUGUGUGUCUGUCGCAAACAAGGCACCGCCUGAGGAUCUGUUCUAGCUCUGCGGUGAUUCAGGGAUCCUGAAGCCAGGCCUGCAGCUAGCGGACACCUCGGCGAGGCCCUGCGUUGGGUAAUCCUUGCUGAGCCAUCAGGCAGGGCGGAAAGGGAGCCCGCAGCUGAAGGAAAAGAUCUCUUGUAGCAACAGAGCAAGGGGUGAGGAGAGGACUGGGACCCCGGGGUCAGUGCAGGGCCCAAGAUGCAGCUGCCAGGGAGGGAGGAGAUGGAGAUGCCCGAGGGAAGAGGUCCCGAAGCAUGACGCUGGCCUUCCAGAAGGAGGUGGGCAGAGAGGCACCGAUGCCCCGAUAGGAUGGUUGGAGUUCACAGGGCUCCCCCACUAGGGAUUGAACCCAGCCUUUGCAUUGGGGUACAUCCCCAUCCCUUUUCGGGUGUUUGUUUGUUUUCUGAGACAGACUGUUGUAGUUUAUGAAAGGAUCUUGCCCUAAACACUGCAGCGGAGGCUGGAGGCGGAACCAAGGGGCUCUAUCUUGAGGUCACCUCCCCCAUCCCUAGGCAGUUUACCUGUGGCUCGAAAUAAUUCCAAUGGGCUACUUGUGCAUCAGUAAUGCCCCUUAGGCUCCACCCCAAACCUAAGCUAUAUGUGUGACCCCACCCCACGUGUCCCGCAGAGAGAAUGCCACACCUCAGUGGUGGUGGUGGUGGUGUUUCUCUCUCUACAUUCUUAAAAUAGAGGCCACUUUUAUUUCAUACUUCUAUCUUUUUAGCCGUGCGGAAAAUUCUAUCAGUUUGGACUGAACUAGAACUCACUGUGUAGCCCUUGAACUCACAGCAAUGCUCUGGCGAGUUUUGGGAUUACAGAUGAUUGCCACUCAUAAUCCCAAAACCUGGUUUCAUCUCAGCCCCUUUUUUUUUUUUUUGUACCGGAGAUCGAACUCAUGACCUUGUGCUUGCCAUUACACGACCGGGGAGCUAAAUCCCGGCCCCAUCUCAGCUCUUUUAAAAAAAUCAUUUUGCUUUAAUUUUACACAUAGGUAAGCUGUGUGACAGAGACAUAAUUACCCAAGGUCACUGCAAGUGCUACAGACACAGAAGAGGGAGAGGCCCUUCUCCUAGGAAGGGUGUGGCCUCAGUCAGGAAUACUGCCCCAGAGGCAGCAACUGAAACCCCACCCAAUGCCCUCCCCCACACACAGAGCCACUGCUUUAGGCAGUUGCAGUGCUUGCCAGACCCGAGGAGACAGCUUCCCCGGGAGAUGGGAACGCUCUCCCCUCAACUACAGGUGUCCCUGUCCCCAGCCGCCUGCACUCAGCAUCGACCAGAUUGAUUUCAGGAUGUGAUUCUAAAUACCACUCUCAGCUCACAAGAACGGAAUCAGCUGUGGCAAGCAGCUCAAAAAGAAGCUGAUCAGAGACAUAAGGUAAACACUACUGAUAAUGACUCUGGGCCUAUACCUGUACCAAAGCAGGACAAGCAUACUAACUAUAACAAACUUUUAAAACAGGUCCAGGAGGCUAAUCAAAACCCAGCUGUGUUCCUAAAUUGGCUUUCUAAUCCUCGUGCCCCAUGAGCAGUUCCAGCUUUGCGCACUGUGUUGGACUGCCUCCCAGCCCCUCCCUCCCCUGUGUGCCAUGGUCGUCUCUGCCUUACACGUUUCUGGGGGCAGUCCCAGCCCACCCUUGUGUGCUAGUCCCAGCGCUCGCCCCACAUGCACGCUGGGCGUGCUCUGCCGGAGUGCAGCAAAACAGCAGCUCAGUGACUCCGCUCAGGCAUGCUAUGUUUUACAAUUUGGCUCCGCUCAAUAGAAGCUAUUUUUUUUAUCACAAUUCUCAAACCAUUUAAUCAAAGUUACUGGCCACCUGAUAAUUUUACCAGCCUUGUUUAUCAAUCAGCCUUCACCAAUCUCGUGUUUAACAACUAAGAUUAUAAAUUCCUUUUUGCUGGGAACCACUAGCUCUAUUUCAAGACAAGGGUUUUCUUCAAAGUUUUAUUUUAUUUGUCUUGGUUCAUACUACUGCAAAUAACAACUUUAAAAGUAAAUGUGUUCAAAAUUUGACAGUAUUAGAUCAGUUUUGAUAGAUUUAUUCAUAAGAUUGCUAAACCUUUACUGCAAAAUGUUUCCAUUAAAUCCUUUUUAGACAGAUUAAAGCCUUUUUUUGUUAAUUCCAUGUGGCACCUUAAAAAAAGCGGUAUGCCAUCCAGAUAAAGCCUGCUCUCUAAUCUAAAAUGCCAAUAUUAAAUUCCUACAUACUUACUUAAUUUUACUGUAGUCCAAAUCCCAAACAAAAAGGCAAAACUUGACCUUCAAACCUUAUAGAGAUCUUAAUAUGUUUUUUCAUAUUUUUAACACUUGUGACACUUGGAAUUCUGAGACAGGUAAACCUACACAAGGUGGAGCUACCUGGCCCCUCCAUGGACCACGCUCAAAUGCAGCAGAAGACAUUGGGCAAAAAAAUGCCCCUUCCUGGCAUUCUUUGAGACCUUACUUCAGGGCUGCUGGACUGUCCUAGCCACCAAAGCGUGGGUAAGCCAUCCUAACUUGUGGCCCUCACAGGAAAUGUCGACACUGCCAGAUUCGUCACCGACAGAAAAUUGCUGCCAAAGACUGAGGGAGUUCAGGGCAACAACAGCCCCUUUAAGGUGUCUGUCUCAGAUUCCAAGUCGACUAAAGUCUCAGGUAAGACAUUCUCUAUAUUUGUGGACAUACAGGCCAUAUAUACAGAGUUCUUCCUGAGUAUUCAGGCUGCUAUAUUAAGUCCUCAAUCUCUGUGAUAGGGUAUUGAUGGUCAACCUAUGCCAUUUACAAACAGGGCCUAUUUUGUGCAGGUCCCAGUCCUAAAUCUUAAAAUGCCUUUUAUACAGGCUGACUUAGACACACUGAGGCCUCAACAGCUUCCACCUGUUAUCACUAGUAAACCUCUCCUCAGUGAUAUAAGACCACCCCCUUCCUUUCUUAUUCACCAAUUUCUCAGGUAACCCUGGUCAAGACUGACAGAUACAUUUUGUCUUCUCACUUUGGUUAUACUUUUUCAGGAUACAUAAAAGCCUUUCCCACAACCAGGUAAACUGCUGAUACACCCAGGUUACAGCGACCCAUGCCUAAAUCAAAGUUGCUAGACUGCCAUCCUGGUUUCACAUCACUCAAGCCCUAAAUCUGAUCAUUCUGAGUGGUCAUCUCAUCUUCUGUCACCCACCCAUCUCCGUUUCAUGAAGGCCUCACAGCCACAGUUAACAGGCUAAGUCAUGUGUUGUUAUCCACUUUGGUUCCUAAUUUCUUACAUUCUAUUAAUGAUCAUUUUUACAGCAGGACUCUUGACAGUCUUUCCUAAAGACUCCCACAUCAUGCGUAAGAUAAUUUUCAUAAUGUUCUAUAUGAUAACAGUUGCAGUUCUUUCUACCUUCCCUAUACUGGUACAGCCACCGCCUUCCCUGCUCCCCCUAUUUUUUCAGUUCAACUCCUGGACCAGAGACAAGUUUUAUAUACCUACCAUCUUAACUUUUAUGCUUUCACUUGGGGGAAUAAUCACCUCUCAUAAUAUCAUCUCUCCUAACCUCACAGUUAAUUUUCAGAAUUCUGCCUUACUGUGGAACAUGUCUAAAUCAAAGGCACCUUUCCUUCUACCUCACCUGGGUCCUUAAAUAUGACAGUGCCAUGCCUCCGCAUAACAUGUUGUCUCUUUGUUUUUCCAGUCUGACAUACAUGCAUUCACCAGUGAAGUUGUCCUGGCAAAAACACCUGGCACCAGUGUCUACCUGGGCAACAACCUUCAUCCUGUCAACUCCCCUAGGCUCCAGUACAGCGCCCUCUGCCAGCAGGAAGUAGUUAAAGAGAGAAAUCUUUGCCCCUUUUCAUAAUAAUAAUCAUAAGACAGGAUAUGAAAGGGUUUUGGCCCAGACAGGACACUGUAGCCAGGAAAGCCUCAACCGGAAGCAGGAAGGCCCUAUCUCCCCUGCCCUUAGGAAGUUACCUGUGAUGCCAUCUUCCUGCCCCUGGAAAUUUACAUAUGGCCCCAAACCUAGGACCAAUGGGCUACCUGUGCAUCCCUAAUGCCCGCCUUAGGUUCCACCCCAAACCGAGGCUAUUUACAUGCCCCCACGCCAUGUGUCCGCCGGAGAGAUCGCCGGAUGCCAGCAGUGGGGGUGCCGGUCAUCUCUCUCCGUAUUCUCAGAAUAAAAGCCACUUUUUAUUUUAUACUUCUCAA